RNAcentral lists this ribosomal RNA (253 nucleotides) under uncultured bacterium. Its description in RNAcentral is "partial 16S ribosomal RNA". It matches the Rfam family "Bacterial small subunit ribosomal RNA", at positions 524 to 776 of the family's 1533-position model. The record is from RNAcentral.
UACGUAGGGGGCAAGCGUUGUCCGGAAUCAUUGGGCGUAAAGAGCGUGUAGGCGGCCAGAAAAGUCCGCUGUGAAAACUCGAGGCUCAACUUCGAGCUGUCGGUGGAAACUUUCUGGCUAGAGUCCGGAAGAGGAGAAUGGAAUUCCUGGUGUAGCGGUGAAAUGCGCAGAUAUCUGGAGGAACAUCAGUGGCGAAGGCGACACCCUGGACUCAUACUGACACUGAGGUGCGAAAGCGUGGGGAGCAAACAGG